This 225-nucleotide ribosomal RNA is filed under the name uncultured bacterium. RNAcentral's name for it is "partial 16S ribosomal RNA". It matches the Rfam family "Bacterial small subunit ribosomal RNA", at positions 524 to 744 of the family's 1533-position model. The record is from RNAcentral.
UACGUAGGGGGCAAGCGUUUGUCCGGAUUUAUUGGGCGUAAAGAGCGUGUAGGCGGUUUUACAGGUCCGCUGUGAAAACUCGAGGCUCAACCUCGAGCUGUCGGUGGAAACCGUAAGGCUAGAGUCCGGAAGAGGAGAGUGGAAUUCCUGGUGUAGCGGUGGAAUGCGCAGAUAUCAGGAGGAACACCCGGUGGGCGAAGGCGGGUCUCUGGGCCGAUGACUGAC